UACGUAGAGGGCAAGCGUUGUCCGGAUUUAUUGGGCGUAAAGAGCGUGUAGGCGGCCAUGUAGGUCCGUUGUGAAAACUCGAGGCUCAACCUCGAGACGCCGAUGGAAACCAUGUGGCUAGAGUCCGGAAGAGGAGAGUGGAAUUCCUGGUGUAGCGGUGAAAUGCGCAGAUAUCAGGAAGAACACCCGUGGCUAAGGCGGCUCUCUAGUACGGUACUGACGCUGAGACGCGAAAGCGUGGGGAGCGAACAGG
RNAcentral lists this ribosomal RNA (253 nucleotides) under uncultured bacterium. Its description in RNAcentral is "partial 16S ribosomal RNA". It matches the Rfam family "Bacterial small subunit ribosomal RNA", at positions 524 to 776 of the family's 1533-position model. The record is from RNAcentral.